Molecule: long non-coding RNA, 1964 nt
Organism: Papio anubis (olive baboon)
Lineage: Eukaryota; Metazoa; Chordata; Mammalia; Primates; Cercopithecidae
Source: Ensembl
GUCCCUUAGUCCUUCCAAGGGAGGUUCUCACAAUACCUGACGGAUGUGAAAGACUUGACUUCUAGACCUGUGUCUGAAGGCCUAGGUUUGCAGUCUGCAGAGCUAUCUACAGGGCUGGUGGGAGACCCCUGAAAAGAAACCGGAGAAGCUUGCUGACAAAAGACUGGAAUUCUGGUAUCUCUUUUGUUUUCACCCAAGUCUGUGGCCACUGACAUUCCUCUUUUCCACCACGGGUGGAUAAUAAGCCCCCUUCUCAGGAAUCGAAAUGCUCUUAUACAUUUUAAUGUGACCUUAGACAGCGCUGUUCAGAAAUCACAGGCCCAUCUGACUACACUUGAGGUUGAAUUGAGCUAAUGGUAUUCACCUCAUCUUUAGAUGCAAAAUUGGAAGAUAAAAAGACCUUGAUGUGAAAAGCAGGGGGGGAUGUGAGGGAGGGGAGGUGGACGGGUUGCGGGGGGCAGGAGGGGGGAAGCAGAUUAGAGAUACUGCUUAAAAAUCACGUGAUUGUGCGUUGAUAACGAAAUGUCUCCUCUUUCCCAAAUCCCCCAUGGGCUGGAGAGAUGUCCUUAUUCUUUUAUUUUUAACGAUAGAAUCUUUUUAUUCCUGAGCUGGGGAAAUUUGAAUGUUGCUGCAUAUGUGGCCAGGAGAUACAUUGACCUUUAGCAAAUCUUAUUUUAAAAAACCCAGAUUGAACAGUUAUUGCAAUAUUUCAGCCCUGUAAGAUGAAAAGAGAGAGAGAGAGAGAGAGAGGAGAGGAGAGAGAGCGCGCCUUCUUCCUCUGUAAUCAGAUGUGGAUUAAAUUUAUUAAAGAUGCUGUGUCUCCUUUUAAAUGACUGGCAACCCUCUUUCUGAAUUAUCAGGAGCUGGCUGGAGACAUGGCACCCUUCUGAUUUCAUCUUAAGAUGACAGAGAAAAGUCUAAAAUGGGAGAAAACUUGGUUCCUCUCUGUUGCUCUUUGGCUCAAACUUGGUUUUCAUCCAUUAAGCCAAAUGCAUUCAGGGCCCCAUGGUGAGGCCCAGAAGGGGAUGAGGGUAAAUGGGAGGGUGGGGGCACAGGGUGUGGUCAGAUCAGCUUCCCAGGAAAGAAGCUGGGAGGGAGCCCCUGCAGCUCACAUAAAAUGCGCAACCCCUAGAGACAGGCUCAUUUCCAGCUUUGACGUGCCUGCUGUCUGUCAAGGGCCCAGUGAAUGCUUCCCACCCGCAGGGCUCAGCCGCCUCCAGGACCCAGGGGCCCAUUGGGCAAUCCAUCACGGAGCACACCUGGCCUGCCCAAAGGACACAGCAGGCAGUGGGAGUCCAGAAAUGAACCAGACCCAUCCCUGGCCAUGGAGGAACACCCAACCUAACUGGAGAGACAAAGGUGGAGAAGGAGAGAGGACUGGGCUUGUGUCGGCUUUGGGGUUCCACCAUCUUGGAACCUGUGCUUCUGGUUUGCCUGGGAAUGCAAGGUGUUUGGAGACUGCCCAGCAAAUAUCAACUGGGGGCUUGGCUGUGUUGCCUUGGGCUUGUUGUUGCUCAGGGACUCAGGCCAACAGAGCAACCAUCACCUGGAAUGUCAUCUAUUGCCAUUACAGGGGAUUUCUGCUUUGGCAUCUUCCUCAUAUUCUCUUGCCACCACCAUGUGAGAAGUACCUUUCACCUCCUGCCAUGAUUCUGAGGCCUCCCCAGCCAUUGGAACUGACACAAGUGUCCACCGAUGGGGUGAAGAGAGGAGAGCCUGGUUCUGGGAAGACGACUGCGGUGAGAUGGAUUGGACUGGGGAGAUGCUGGAGAUGGGGACCUGUUGGGGUUACUGUGUUGUUCAGGUGGCUCCAGGAAAAUCAGAUGCAGCUGGGCUGGUUGACAUCACUGUUACCUCCCUCAUCCUUCCCAUACCCAAAGAAAGUCCUGGUGGAUUUUCCUCUCACUGGCAUGGAAACUGAGGCACAGGGAGGUGAGUGGCUUGCCCAGGCUCAUACAGUUUGA